UGGGAUAGGUCAGUUGGUAGAGCUUGAAACCCUUAAUUUCAGGGUCACGAGUUCAAACUGCACGUUGGGCCAA
This is a non-coding RNA of Podarcis lilfordi (Lilford's wall lizard), 73 nucleotides long. The record is from the annotation of a GenBank genome assembly. NCBI's taxonomy places the organism in Eukaryota, Metazoa, Chordata, Lepidosauria, Squamata, Lacertidae.